This 72-nucleotide transfer RNA is filed under the name Candidatus Staskawiczbacteria bacterium. RNAcentral's name for it is "tRNA-Cys". It matches the Rfam family "tRNA". Rfam says of the family: Transfer RNA (tRNA) molecules are approximately 80 nucleotides in length. Their secondary structure includes four short double-helical elements and three loops (D, anti-codon, and T loops). Lineage: Bacteria; Candidatus Staskawicziibacteriota. The record is from RNAcentral.
GGCACGGUAGCUAAGUAGUAAAGCACUUCUCUGCAAAAGAAGUAUACGUGGGUGCGAUUCCCACCCGUGCCU